RNA transcript from Sphaerodactylus townsendi, 1673 nucleotides. It is a transcript of the gene named ubiquitously expressed prefoldin like chaperone, with no coding region annotated. The record is from RefSeq and is a predicted model, not a curated record. The transcript has 7 exons. NCBI's taxonomy places the organism in Eukaryota, Metazoa, Chordata, Lepidosauria, Squamata, Sphaerodactylidae.
UCCCGACGGCGAGCGCGAUCCAAGCCACGGGCAACAGGACCCAAAAGCGAAUCGAACCAUCCAGAUAUAGCUCCGGCGCCGCCAUUGUGAAGAUUCAGAACCGGUUUGUUAAAAAAAAUUUAACAAGAAAACCGGAAGUGACCUCAGAGAGACGAGUCUACCAUUUCCGUUGCGUUUCCUGAUUCCGAAACACGGAUACGAAACUUCACUGGAAACAAUUACUAGUAAAUUAUUUGCAAGCUAAUAAGUUUGCAGUAGAAAAGCUUGGACGAGUUCAGAAUAACAUUCCAAGUACCCGGAUGUUCAACCCGGAAGUAGAUCCCCACCUUGUCACCACCCUAAACUACAAAGGGAAACAACCAUAGAGAUUAGCGGCUAGAGCAUCCUGCCAGAGCUGAGCCCCGCAAAUGGCAACCUCCUAUCAGUACAGGUACCAAGAAACCAUGGCAAUGGCAGCUAUACGAGAGGAAGCGAUAGGAAAAUGCUAGAAAGAAGCACUCUUUUUGUUCUUACUGUGUUUUCCCUGUGGGACGUUUCCCUCUGGGAUUUUAUUGGGGUUCGAUUGAGUGCUUGAAGUGCUGGGUCGCGUUCCUGACGCCCUCCAUGACCUCUUCCAAAGCUUGUAUAUAUAAGAAUUACUUGGUGCCUGGGACAUAUUCUGCUGUCGCUCUCUUUGUACCUUUGGAAGAGCACAGAAAAACGCGUGUGUUGGACUAUAAAAACAGGGCAGCUUGCAGAAGGAGGAUCUGUUAGAGGAAAAGAAAGGAAGAAAUCAAUUUAGCCCCCCCCCCCCUUUAUUUCCUAGUUGAUCAUAACUUGUUUCCAGGAGCUGCGGACCAGCCAGCGGUGAACUUCUCCUCCUCCUUGUCACCAUCACUCUUUGGGGACUCCAAUGGCAAUGCUGGAUGAGCAACAAGUGAAAGAGAAGGUGCUGCGCUACGAAGGUUUCAUAAGUGAUGUUCUGCAAAGAGAUCUCCAGAAAGUGUUGGAGCAGCGGGAUGAGGUCUAUGAGAAGAUCGCCCAGUACCUACAACUGAAGAGCGUGAUUGAGCGGUUACAGGAGACAGGAAAUCGGGAGCUGGUGACCCAAGUUGACCUUGGCUGCAAUUUUUAUGUCAAUGCUGAAGUGCCAGACGCUGUAUCUUUUACCCACCAUCUUUGUGGUUCUGGGGUAUGGGUUCUAUGCACAGCUGACACUGCCUGAGGCAUUGGCCUUCAUUGAGAAGAAGACCAAGCUGUUGACCGAGACCGCUGAGACCCUCACCACAGACUCCGCCAAGAUCAAAGCCAAUAUCCGGAUGGUUUUAGAGGGCUUGCGCGAACUCCAGGGAUUCCAAGAUAUUUCUGAGGAGAACUGAAGAGAAAUCACCCUUUAGGCACCUGAUUUCCUGCCCUCCCCAACCACGAAGAGGAAUUCCAAAGUUCGACAAGGUUGGAAGAAGAGCUGGACUCUUGUGCAUUUUGGCAGUCGCAGGAACUGUGCUGGAGAAACGCCCCUCAGUAAGGCCUGGCGAAUGGGAAGGGGUGAUUGGAAAUUGGGGAGGUGGCGACAAGAGGUAUUUCUUAUGGGCAGGUUUGUUUCUAGGCCUGAUCUCCCCGCUGCUUCCUGAGGCACUUCCUUGGAGCGAGCUCAUCUCAGUUGUUAAAAGCAAUAAAAAAUCCUGUGUACUUGG